GCCGUGGGGACGGUGUGGGUGCUGCCCGCCAUCAUGGAGGGGGCUGGGGCUGAGACUUUGCUGGAGCCCGGGGGUGUUCCUCGGUCCUUUCCUCUCCUUGCAGGUUUUGCUCUUGCUUUGUCUUUUCUCUUCCCCAGAAGUUAGGGCCCCUCAGCCCUUUGUUCAGUAACGAGGCUCAAACAGCUGCCGUUAACGGCUCGUUCAGCCCUUUGGAAAGCCACAAGCCUCAAAGAGCCUCCAUUACAAGCAGCAAGGGUCGAAUAGCUCCUAUACAGCAAGGUUUAAGUAACUCCUGGUAUAAACAGCGAGGUUUACUCAGCUUCUGUCGUCAGUAAAACUUCCCGAUGGGUCAUUCGGUGCCACGUUCCCUUAUUUGAGCCCCAGAGUACUUCAGACAUGGGUGGUCUCUGAGGGGACUGUCCGGGACCAUCUCGGGAUAACCCUGCUGGUGCUAAAGCAAUGGGCGGGACCAGAGUGGCAGGGGGAUCCUAACAGCUAACUGUCCCAGAGGUCAAAAUGACUCUACCUGGGAGAGUGGAAAAAGCACCCCAUUGUAACUGGCCUGGAGGCUCUGUGCACCCGUGGCAUACGCUACCUCAGGAGAGGGUACUUCAGGGACCCAAAGGAGUGCUGAUAAGCUUUUGGUAUAGCUGCUCUGGCUGUGGAGGAACUGGACAUCAAAAGAAGACUGAUGCAGAUGUCGUGGGGAUUCAGGUGACAUCCAGGAGCGAGCAAAAUGACCUUCCCACUGCUGGAAGAACAGGAGGCACCAGUGAAGGAUUAGGUAGCAUUUGGUGUGCUUUGUCACGUUACUUUCUAUACUAUUUUCUGGAAAUAAUCUCAUUCCGAAUAACAAAUGCAAGGCUUUAAGGAGGCACUUUGGUCACAUUGCCACAAUUGUUGGCCUGGAUGGAAAAGACUUCACAUAUUUGAGUAUAAGUUUGACCUACAGAGGUACUCAUGAGCUGAUAAACACAGCCUGCAAUGAUGAAGGAGAAUUGCCUGCCUCCACAGAACAAAAAGAGAGCUGGAAUGGGUGUGUCAGGCAUGGACCAGCAUGUGUAGAAAAAGUUCUUUGCAGAACAAGUCUUCUUGCUAGACAGAUGCUGCAGUUACGGGUCAGAGGUUCGCUCAGCUUCCCAAUAAAAUAAAUCAAAGGGACCUUGUGGCCUACUACACGUGUAGUAACUUACCUGAGGAUUAACUUCAGCAGCUGUGCUGUGCAGAAGAGAUAGAGAUAGCUCUGUACCAGUAGAAGCUCUUAGCAUCUGCACUACUGCCAGCACUGUUCAGAGACCAAGACACCAUAAACCACCAUACUCUGGGACAAGAAUCUGGGCUGUAGAUGAUUCACCCUCUGAAUCACUGCAGUUAUUGGGUCCAGUAUUGCAGAAAACUAAAUUAGCUAAACAUAUGCAUCAGUAAAUACACAGCCAAAAUACCAGUGAGGAGGCCUCGGUUCACCAUACCUACAAAUUGCUGCUACAGGGAAAUGUUACAGAGUAAGCAUAAAAAUAGCUGAGCAUUGUUCUGCUGAGCUCAUCCACUCCCUUGAGGAUACUGCCCCAGUAGAGAAAAAAUAAUACUAAUAAAAACAUAAAUAUAAAUAUAAAAAAAUCUGCUUGCAAAGCAUUCAACACACUGCACAGAAGCAUGUUUACAGUGAGUGAUUCGCUUGCAACUGUAAUCUAACACAGAAAUGCCAGCUUCUUAGCUGGAUUUAGGUAGUAACACCUUCAUUUUUUGAUCUGGGUAAGCAGGCAGGUGCUUUUCUGAGCCGGCUCAACAAGAGGAUACAAAACAGAGAAGAGUUUUGCCAAGUGGCUUUUCAGCAUCUCUCAAGUCCAGCUGAGACUGAAAUGAUUUGAGUGCACAUUAAAUUUUGUUUGUUCCUAGAUCCAAAACCAAAAACCAUGGAGGAAAAUAUAUAUCUGUGUAUUUUCUGAUCUGUUACAAGGUGCAGCCUGACUACAAAAUUCUGGUGACUUAUUUUGUUUAAAACUAUCUUAAUCUCUGUAAUACCACUGGUUAUUUUUGCAGGAAGAUUUAGAGAUCUAUUGCUUAUUUCUGUUCUUCAUCUUUUAGAUGAAAACUCGAGACUUCUUGAUCAUAAAGUAACCCUCCAGAUCUGAAGUAAUAAAGACACUGCUCUUUCAGAAAAGAAAGCCUCUCUAACAUUGGCUUCACUGGGUACUAGGUGCUCAUGGCUGACUUUCUUUCCUUUCUCUUUAUAAGUUCUGGGACUAUGUGCUUUCCAUAGCUUGGUUGCCACUUCAGGUGGUGAGCCCAAUGGGUAUGUUAUGUCAAUUCAGUGACACUUGCAGUCAGCUCUCUGGGCAUGUACUUCACUGAGCAAUUUGACAUCAGUUGUGUGUGUUAGUCCUCUGUGCCUUAUGCGUGUUUUAUUCUCUGUCUCCCUUCAAGUGACAUAACCUUUGGAUUCCAAAACUAACAUGCAGUGGUAAUUUAGUCAUACUUUUUGCAUUUCUGGUUGGAUAAAGAGGAGGAAAGGUGCACUGAAAACUGAGAAAUGGAGAAGUAAGCCAAAUACCCAUUCUGGGAUUCAAUGAGGAGCAAGUGG
This is a non-coding RNA of Anas platyrhynchos (mallard), 2581 nucleotides long. Lineage: Eukaryota; Metazoa; Chordata; Aves; Anseriformes; Anatidae. The record is from RefSeq and is a predicted model, not a curated record.